RNAcentral lists this long non-coding RNA (1554 nucleotides) under Homo sapiens (human). RNAcentral's name for it is "HSALNT0373267". Lineage: Eukaryota; Metazoa; Chordata; Mammalia; Primates; Hominidae. The record is from RNAcentral.
CUGUGACCUUGGCAAUUUUGUAAAACCCUCUGAGCCUAGCUUUCUCACAUGUAAAGUGAUGAUAAUGGGUAAUUCCCAUGGCCGUUGUGAGAUUAAAUUAAAAGGGUUAAAUUUUAUUUAUAAAGCACCUAGCAUAUAUUAGACACUCAAUAUUGGGUCACAUCUCUGCAAAUCUGAUGGGAAAUGUCUUCCCUAAGGGAAGAUUUUCUGUUUCUGGAAUUUCACUCCCUAGAACUUUCCAUGCUUGAGUCAUGCAUUAGCUUUUGACAAGUUAUUUUAUUUAACUCUCCCUCUUGGCAAUCGCUACCUGUGAUGACACACAAAGCGGGAAACUACAUCCCAGCAGCUACAAAUAAUAGCAAGCAAUCUUUUGAACUAUUUGCCUUGAGGAAAGGCUAAAAAGUUAUUGAGUCGUGAGUGCAGUUUGCCACGUCACGAUGUAUUUCCCACUGUUUUCUUAGGCUAUUUUCUUUGCCUCCUUUAAGAUAUUUUCUGGAAACUUUUGCUGAACGGUAGCCAAUUGUGAGCGAAAGCUUCUGUAACCAUUCUCUUGCUGAAAGUAACUCGGAGAUCUCAUUUUGCCACAUGGAAGACAGCAGACUCUCUACUUCUCUUCCCUUAGGUCACAAUGGCCUAUAGGAUAUUGCUUUUAGAAGCAAUGCUAUAAGGAACCCUUUUUCUUGCACCAGUAGGAGGUGGAGUCUUGCUCUGUCGCCCAGGCUGGAGUGCAGUGGAGCGUGAUCUUGGCUCACUGCAAGCUCCGCCUCCUGGUUCACGCCAUUCUCCUGCCUCAGCCUGCGGAGUAGCUGGAACUACAGGUGCCUGCCACCACACCCGGAUAAUUUUUUGUAGUUUUAGUAGAGAUGAGGUUUCACCGUGUUAGCCAGGAUGGUCUCGAUCUCCUGACUUCGUGAUCCACCGCGCCUGGCCGACAUCACAUUUUACUUCUGUCCAUCAGCUCCUCAGUUUAGGAAAAUCUUAUCUUCCUAACAAAUAGAAAACUCUUGUAGCUCAAAUAAGAGGAAAAGAUGAGGCCUAAUGUUUAAAGUCCUGAUGGAUUCAAAGCCCUGAUGGAGUCUCUCCACUCCUCAUACCUGAAGUCUGAAUAUUUGUCAUCUCAGAUUAUCUACAACUAAGGAGGGAACCUGACUUUUUCUUUGUCCCAGAGUGGGCAGGUUAUUCUCCCUCCCAAUACAAACCACCUUAAGGAAAAGAUACAACUUAUUGGCAUAAAUGGCUGGGAUUGUUCUGAGGUUGUUCAUAGGUUCAAAGAAAUUGCUGCAGGGACUAGAACAAGGCCUCACACCACCAAGAUUUUCCUCACUUCUUCAGGCAGCCUUCUGCCUACCUGUCCCGCAUGGCGUCAUUCCUCAGAAGGCUUCUCCAGGCUCCUGGAAGAAAAAUGGAACUAAAAAGGGAAAACAAUAGCAACAAAGAUCAAAAUAAAUAACAAGGAAGCGGAGAGAAGAAAGAACAUGGUGAAGAGAGUGAAACGCAUUGUCAUUUGGGGUGAAUUGCAGAAAGAAAUAAAUUAUUGUUCUUAUAUAUAAGUGA